GGUUUUUGAGAAGAAGAACGAAGCCUGAAUCCCAAAUUAGUUGGAAUUGGCUGUAUGGAUCCUUUCAGCUGUAUGAGAUAAAACUAAUAUAACUCAGGCCAUUGAUAUGGCUAGUGCUAGACGAGGAAUUUUGAUACCAGUGCAGGGACCAACUUGGGUUCUGUGUAGAGACUACAAACUUAAUAUAUAUUCAGGAAAAUUUAGGUAAGUUCCAUCAGAAGGAGGCAUUUUAGUGAAAAUUUGCCAUAGUUU
Molecule: unclassified non-coding RNA, 252 nt
Filed under: Hevea brasiliensis (rubber tree)
Lineage: Eukaryota; Viridiplantae; Streptophyta; Magnoliopsida; Malpighiales; Euphorbiaceae
Source: RNAcentral